RNAcentral lists this ribosomal RNA (253 nucleotides) under uncultured bacterium. RNAcentral describes it as "partial 16S ribosomal RNA". It matches the Rfam family "Bacterial small subunit ribosomal RNA", at positions 524 to 776 of the family's 1533-position model. The record is from RNAcentral.
UACGUAGGGACCGAGCGUUGUCCGGAUUCAUUGGGCGUAAAGAGCUCGUAGGCGGCUGUUCAAGUCGAACGUGAAAACUCGGAGCUCAACUCCGAGCCUGCGUUCGAUACUGGACGGCUAGAGUCUGGUAGGGGGAUCUGGAAUUCCUGGUGUAGCGGUGGAAUGCGCAGAUAUCAGGAGGAACACCUGUGGUGUAGACGGCUUUCUGGACCAUAGCUGACGCUGAGACACGAAAGCGUGGGUAGCAAACAGG